Long non-coding RNA from Magallana angulata, 520 nucleotides. RefSeq lists it as uncharacterized. The record is from RefSeq and is a predicted model, not a curated record. Lineage: Eukaryota; Metazoa; Mollusca; Bivalvia; Ostreida; Ostreidae. The transcript has 4 exons.
AAAUGGGCAAAGAAGACAGGAUUUGUUGUGAAGAUUUUCCAGAUUUUUUCAAGAAAUGUGCAGAAUCACAGCGUGUUGUAUGUAGUAAUGAAACUGCAAGCAGUGGUUUCAUAAAGAUAGACAUGCUUAAGACCUGGAUGAUAUGGCUUUAGUUGUGGAUGACCAUUUCCAUUCAGGAAAAAAUCCCAACCAAGUCCAGCUAGCAGACUGUACACCAGAUUGAAGAUACAUCAUUAAUACAAGAUGAAAAAAGAUUAAUGGAGGACGAGGAUAAUACUAUGAAAGAGCAAGAGCAACCGUUCCCAUAGAAAUACAUGCAGCCAUGUCAACAGAAACCAGUUUUCACCUGCCAGGUGCUGGUCACAUUUAUAUUCAACAUGGGAACAGAUUCAAGAAACAGAUCCAGUUGUUUGCUGAUAAAUUACUGCAGGUCAUUGGUAUCAUCUAGAACCAGGACUGUUUUAAAAAUCAUUCUAGUAUAUUUGGAACAAAAUCAUGCUAGUAUAUGUUAGGAAUUUAA